AGAGUUUGAUCCUGGCUCAGGAUGAACGCUAGCGGCAGGCCUAACACAUGCAAGUCGAGGGAGAAGCCCUUUCGGGGGCAGAAACCGGCGCACGGGUGCGUAACGCGUAUGCAACCUACCUUUCACAGGGGGAUAGCCCGAAGAAAUUUGGAUUAAUACCCCAUAAUAUUAUUGGAUGGCAUCAUUUGAUAAUUAAAACUGCGGUGGUGAAAGAUGGGCAUGCGUCCUAUUAGCUAGUUGGAGUGGUAACGGCACCCCAAGGCUACGAUAGGUAGGGGUCCUGAGAGGGAGAUCCCCCACACUGGUACUGAGACAGGGACCAGACUCCUACGGGAGGCAGCAGUGAGGAAUAUUGGUCAAUGGUCGGAAGACUGAACCAGCCAUGCCGCGUGCAGGAAGAAUGCCUUAUGGGUUGUAAACUGCUUUUAUAUGGGAAGAAUAAGGUGUACGAGUACAUUGAUGACGGUACCAUAUGAAUAAGCAUCGGCUAACUCCGUGCCAGCAGCCGCGGUAAUACGGAGGAUGCGAGCGUUAUUCGGAAUCAUUGGGUUUAAAGGGUCUGUAGGCGGGCUAUUAAGUCAGGGGUGAAAGGUUUCAGCUUAACUGAGAAAUUGCCUUUGAUACUGGUAGUCUUGAAUAUCUGUGAAGUUCUUGGAAUGUGUAGUGUAGCGGUGAAAUGCUUAGAUAUUACACAGAACACCGAUUGCGAAGGCAGGGGACUAACAGACAAUUGACGCUGAGAGACGAAAGCGUGGGGAGCGAACAGGAUUAGAUACCCUGGUAGUCCACGCUGUAAACGAUGGAUACUAGCUG
RNAcentral lists this ribosomal RNA (813 nucleotides) under human oral metagenome. RNAcentral's name for it is "bacterial SSU rRNA". It matches the Rfam family "Bacterial small subunit ribosomal RNA", at positions 8 to 822 of the family's 1533-position model. The record is from RNAcentral.